CAAGGACUGCAGCGCUGGGACCGCAUCCACUCAGGAGAGAGACGAGCAAGCAUGCCUUGCAGCCCAGCCUCUAAGUCCCCUGCUUCCUGAGAACUACAAGUCCCAGAAUUCAUAGAAGCUGAAGGCCAGAAGAGACCAUGAUGCUCAUCUCAUGUGACCUCCUGCAUCAGGGCGAUCCCUGGCUUUGGGCCCCCUGGACGCAGCACCCCACAUUUAAAGGGGUUCACACCACCUCCCCUUCUGGGGAGCUGCGGCUCAUUCAGCCCCUCGCACUGGCAAGGGGGCCGGGGUUGGGCAAUGUGGCUGGGACGCAGAUCCAGACCCAGCAUCUCGUGGGCUAACGAGCAGCCAUUGGAUCCCGGCUCGCCGGGGCUUCCAGGAAAGCGCCGCAUUGAUUGUGCUCUCAGUGCACUGCAGGCUGGGCUGGAUGUGCAACGAUAUCACUCAACAGCAAUCAAAUCAUCCUCCUGGUUAAUAACGCUCCCGGCCUUUCCCU
This is a long non-coding RNA of Malaclemys terrapin pileata, 496 nucleotides long. RefSeq lists it as uncharacterized. The record is from RefSeq and is a predicted model, not a curated record. The transcript has 3 exons. Lineage: Eukaryota; Metazoa; Chordata; Testudines; Emydidae.